Long non-coding RNA from Xiphophorus couchianus (Monterrey platyfish), 152 nucleotides. RefSeq lists it as uncharacterized. The transcript has 2 exons. NCBI's taxonomy places the organism in Eukaryota, Metazoa, Chordata, Actinopteri, Cyprinodontiformes, Poeciliidae. The record is from RefSeq and is a predicted model, not a curated record.
GAAAAUGAACAUAACAGUUUGAACGUACUUUUAAAAAUGUUAAAUGUACAUUUUUUUUGCCCACGGGAACAGAAAAGGUUCCUGUCAAAAGUUGUAUGAGCACCUGCUUUCUCACAGUUUCCUGGUGAAGUGAAGAGAAUAGUGAGAAAGUG